AAAACAACCGCGAAAAAGGCCUUUUUUUGUUGUUGUUUUUCUCCCCUCUCUCCCUCUCAACCCCAGGUCCUCAGCGAUUGAAGCGUCUCAUACGUACGCGCACACGCAUACACACACAUACCCAAAUUCAGCAACAGGUCACACCGCACACGCCCCAGUGGGUUUUUGUGUGUCAGCGUCCCUGUUGCGCCCAGCCUGCCAGCACAUCAGCAACAGCCGCAGCGGCAGCGGUCUUCACGCCGACAUAUUCGCUCCCGUGCAUCCAUCGCUCUUUUUUUGGACGAAGUCGCCCCACCCUCCCUCCCUUCUCUCACACGCAGGCACACACCUCCUCAUUUCUCGUCUCCUCUCGAUUGUUCCUCCCCCUCCCUUCUUUGUUUCUCUCUCCCUCUCUGUCUCGUCUCACUCAGUUCCUUUUUCUUUGCGUUAUUGAUAGCUUGAAUCUAAGCGUGUUCCCGUGCACUUUUUAUCUGCGUGUGUGUGUGUGCGCGCGCACGCGCUGCCGUUGCCACUAUCACAGACGCGCACCGCCGUUUGCCACGCGUGUGUGUGUGUGCUGCGUGUGACGGCUAGGGCUGUUUUUUCUUUUUUUUUGCUUUUCUGGUAAGAGGAGGAGGAUACGGCAGCCCUCUACGGUUUAGAUAUUGCCGGGGCUGAACGGCGACACGGUGGCGAGACGCGUGGUGGUUUCACACCGACAGAAACCAAAGGAGACCACUCGACAAAGGAGGGAGAGAGAAGGACAGAACGCGACGCGCUUCUGAGUCGUGGCCGCUUCUCGCAUCUGGCGUUCUUGCCUUUCACAAGAUUCACAUCAACGUCUAUUUUACCCCCCCCCCUCUCCUCGCGCUGUUUGGACCCGCUGUGCGGUCGCUUAG
This 878-nucleotide unclassified non-coding RNA is filed under the name Leishmania donovani. RNAcentral's name for it is "gene:unknown". The record is from RNAcentral. Lineage: Eukaryota; Euglenozoa; Kinetoplastea; Trypanosomatida; Trypanosomatidae.